RNAcentral lists this ribosomal RNA (278 nucleotides) under uncultured bacterium. Its description in RNAcentral is "partial 16S ribosomal RNA". It matches the Rfam family "Bacterial small subunit ribosomal RNA", at positions 28 to 307 of the family's 1533-position model. The record is from RNAcentral.
GACGAACGCUGGCGGCGUGCUUAACACAUGCAAGUCGAGCGGUAAGGCCCUUUCGGGGGUACACGAGCGGCGAACGGGUGAGUAACACGUGGGUGACCUGCCCUCAGCUCUGGGAUAAGCCUGGGAAACCGGGUCUAAUACUGGAUAUGACUCCAUGACGCAUGUUGUGGGGUGGAAAGCCUUGUGCGGCUGAGGAUGGGCCCGCGGCCUAUCAGCUUGUUGGUGGGGUGAUGGCCUACCAAGGCGACGACGGGUAGCCGGCCUGAGAGGGCGACCGG